UACGAAGGGGGCUAGCGUUGUUCGGAAUUACUGGGCGUAAAGCGCACGUAGGCGGAUACUUAAGUCAGGGGUGAAAUCCCGGGGCUCAACCCCGGAACUGCCUUUGAUACUGGGUAUCUCGAGUCCGGAAGAGGUGAGUGGAAUUCCGAGUGUGGAGGUGAAAUUCGUAGAUAUUCGGAGGAACACCAGUGGCGAAGGCGGCUCACUGGUCCGGUACUGACGCUGAGGUGCGAAAGCGUGGGGAGCAAACAGG
This 253-nucleotide ribosomal RNA is filed under the name uncultured bacterium. Its description in RNAcentral is "partial 16S ribosomal RNA". It matches the Rfam family "Bacterial small subunit ribosomal RNA", at positions 524 to 776 of the family's 1533-position model. The record is from RNAcentral.